AACUACUUAGUAUUUUAGAUACAUUUGUUUUGAAAACUUAAAAAGAUUAGCCUCAGUAGUUU
RNAcentral lists this transfer RNA (62 nucleotides) under Haustorioides koreanus. Its description in RNAcentral is "tRNA-Ser". Lineage: Eukaryota; Metazoa; Arthropoda; Malacostraca; Amphipoda; Dogielinotidae. The record is from RNAcentral.